Molecule: ribosomal RNA, 465 nt
Filed under: uncultured bacterium
Lineage: Bacteria
Description: partial 16S ribosomal RNA
Rfam family: Bacterial small subunit ribosomal RNA
Source: RNAcentral
GACGAACGCUGGCGGCGUGCUUAACACAUGCCAGUCGAACGGAAAGGCCCUGCUUGCAGGGUACUCGAGUGGCGAACGGGUGAGUAACACGUGGGUGAUCUGCCCUGCACUUCGGGAUAAGCCUGGGAAACUGGGUCUAAUACCGGAUAGGAGCCAUUUUUAGUGUGAUGGUUGGAAAGUUUUUUCGGUGUAGGAUGAGCUCGCGGCCUAUCAGCUUGUUGGUGGGGUAAUGGCCUACCAAGGCGGCGACGGGUAGCCGGCCUGAGAGGGUGGACGGCCACAUUGGGACUGAGAUACGGCCCAGACUCCUACGGGAGGCAGCAGUGGGGAAGAUUGCACAAUGGGCGCAAGCCUGAUGCAGCGACGCCGCGUGGGGGAUGACGGCCUUCGGGUUGUAAACUCCGUUCGCUAGGGACGAAGCUUUUUGUGACGGUACCUAGAGAAGAAGCACCGGCUAACUACGUG